This is a long non-coding RNA of Vigna radiata var. radiata (mung bean), 1526 nucleotides long. RefSeq lists it as uncharacterized. The transcript is spliced from 5 exons. The record is from RefSeq and is a predicted model, not a curated record. Lineage: Eukaryota; Viridiplantae; Streptophyta; Magnoliopsida; Fabales; Fabaceae.
ACCGCUGGCUAGUAGUAUUUACCCUCUAAAUUUUUUCUUUCUCGCGCCUCUUUUUAUUUUCUUCUAAUUUUUUCAUUUUUCUCCACGCAGUUUCACAUCCUUUCUCUCCACUACUGAGCUUCACAUUAUUUUCUUCUCCAUUUCUCAACUUUCCUAGUCUUUCUUCCGCCAAUCCUUAUGCACGCUAAUCGGCAAUGUCCGCACCCUGCCGCUGCCAGCGAUGUCUGCGCAAUCGUCGGUCACGCCCUCGCCGCCACGGCCAAAGGCCGAAUUAGCUGGAGUAGCGCGAUUCUCACAAAUUCGUUUGGCCGGUAAAAGCGGAGGCACCGCAUGAAGGCCAGGAAGUCCCGCGUUGGAUUGAUGAAGAAGAGGACGUCGAAGAUUCAAAGAACGGCACCGCCGCUGCAGAAGAAAGCGCUCUCUCUCGGACGAUUAAUCCCCAGUUGCUGGAAGGUAUCGUUCUCGAAGCUUGCAGAAGAAGCCGGUGAUUAGAUCUCUGCCUUGGAGAUGCAAGUGCGAGGAGUGCGAGCCAUGGCGAGUCUCACCGACCUUUAGACCGGCGGUCCCCCUCCCCCGCUCCUUUCGUCGGUGUUUAAUGCUACAAUCUGGUGAAGAAGCACACAUUAAUUAGGAGAUUGAGAAAGAAAACUGGACAGAGGUUUGAUCGUCUCCAUUCAUGAUCCGCAUAAUAGUCCAAAAUUGUGACCUUCAGACCGGCAGUGGAUGGGAAUUCUUUGAGUGAAUGAGGGAUAUGAGAGUCAGGGGAGAGAGGAGAGUUGUGAAGCACGUGAAAGCAGUGGAUCUGAAAAGGAAGAUGCAAGUGAUAAUGAGGAAAAGAAUGAAAAAGCAAUGAAAAAUGAAGUUGAACUUGUUAAGAGCUUGAAUAAGCAAAGACGAUGCUCCAUAACAUUAGGUAUUAUGAUGUGUUAGUCUACACGUGUUGUGUUGCUUUACAUCCAUAAAAACAUUUCUCUCGAAAAGUGAAGUCCAAUGGCAAAAAGGUGUGAUGAAAUUCUGAGGAGGUUAAAGGGGGACAUAAGUAUUUGUACCUCCUUAUGUGUACCAAUUUUAUUUAUAUUUGCUAUCUUAUCUUAUACUUAGAAUUUAAUACCAUUAAGAUCAAUGUGCGGUGCUGGAAACUUAAUACAGUAUUAUCAUAAAUGGAUAUACAAGGAAAUUUUGGGCUCUAAAACCAUUAUGAAAUCUGGUUGAAAUCCCUCUUCAGCCUUGAACCCACAAUUUAUCUCAUCUUUUCUUCUAAUUUUUUCUCUAAACCAAUCUUAUAUCUCUCGCAUGUAUGUGUAUAUAUUGAAAUGUCUUUUCUUUUGUUCAUCUUUCACACAAAAAGAAUAUUAUAUAUAAUAACUAUUCUUCUGUGUACUGCUUUUGUUUUUGUUAUAGUUCUGCAUCAUCAAUUCUUAUAUAAAGUGCAUGACUAGCUUUUACUAUUUUUUUGGUUAUGGUACAUGCAUUGAAUAUUUUCAUUGGAAGUUGAAACCUAUUUGACAGCACACCUUGUUCUAUGC